CUUGGCAGGGCGUGGUAACACAUUCGGAGGGUAGGGUCGGUAGACGGGAGUAGUACCGUGACGCGGCUUAGAUGUGUAUCGGCGGCGGCGGAUUGGGAAGUCGUCCGCAUCCGUUGUAGUCUAGAUGGUUGGGAUAUUCGGCUCUCACCCGAGCGACCCGGGUUCGAGUCCCGGCAACGGAAGCUCCCGAGUGAUAAAAUGGACUACACAUGGUUUUUUCCUCUUUUUCAGGUCAGCACUUUGACGUCGUCGCAGUCGUCCCUGCCGAGAAUCGAAGCCAGGGAGUGUCCCCCUAUGAUGGAUAAAACAAGUCCAAUUCACUCGCAGAUGGAGAGUUUAUUUAAUCUAGUGAUUUAAUUUAAGUUGUAAUUGUUGAUGUACAUGCGAAAUUAGAUUUUCUCUAGUAUCAUUUGGAUAUUAACUAGUGGUAACACGUGGUACAGUUGUUGGAUAUUUUGAACAAUAUUUCUGGUGGACACUGUAUGGUCGUGCAUUCAACCAAGUGCAAAUUUGCCAUACAGGUAGACCAUGACACUAGUGCGAUAAGAGUGUUCGAGUGCAGGAGUAUUUCAAACAGAGCAAGUUCAAACACAAUGUAAUACGGUGAUGUUACGAUACUGGUGAUUUUCUGCUGGUAAGUCCUAUUGGCUCUUUGCAUCGACUUUUACGACUCUUACGACUGUUUGAAUGGAAUAUAGCUGCUUGGUAGGAUUGCAGUUCAAUGAUAGUGAGAAUUGGGGAUCAUACUUAAACUUUAAUCAAAGUGAUCUGCAUACAGUCCCGACAACUUGGUUGUUGAUUACUUGUUUGACAUUUCUAUCGUAUGGCUUACUUACCUCUUUUAUGUGUUUGAUGGACACAUUGCCCUUUAUAAAUAUGGGAUGCACAGUAAAUUGGUUUGUCCGUUUUGGUUUGUUAGAUUUUCUAAGUUACUAGAAUGCAUUGACUUGGCCUAAUUAGUGUAGAAUGCAAUGAUUUGGCCUAAUUAGUGUAGAAUGCAAUGAUUUGGCCUAAUUAGGCUUUGGAAUGACCUACAUAACAUAGGUUAUUUCCCUGGCUACAGAUGACAUCAAAGACGUUAGCUUAUUGCCAGCUCUUGGACCUUCAAACAUAUCAGUCUCAUAUUAUUGUUGGGAGAGCUUAAUGGCUUGCCCCUCACAGAACCAGCCUGUGCAAUUUAAACAUUGGAUCUGGAGUAGCCGUGCUGCGGACGCUGCUGCCAUUGGUGAGUUCAAUUGUUGUGAAGUCCAAAUUUUUCUUCAUUGAUUCCUUUUGUAGCUCAUUCUGAGAUUGCAGAGCGAGUUGGCAGAGCAAAGCGAAGAGCGAGAUCGCGGCAGAGCAAUUCCGAAAUGACGGCGAUAAGUUCUCGACUAGGUCUCGCCACAUUGUGUUGCGAUUCAUAACACCAAACUCCCUUCAUAUCAGUUUUCUGCAGUCGGUUUCAGAUUCAUAGUUCUUAGGACUAUUAGUCAGCCAACACUGUAGGUUACACACCAAGUAGAAACAUGGCCAAUUCACUCCCCCGAACUUGAGAUUUGGUAUCCCAAAUUGCACCAGAGUAGGGCACUGCUCUCCAGUAUGGGAGUAGUGCUCGAACAACCAAUCUACACCUCAUACACUUAGUGAUCUAAAACAGAUAAGAGCCCCUUUAUCCAAUAUGGCUCCAAAGGUAGCACCAUUGGUCAGAUACUUGUGCACUUGAAAACCUGAAGCCUUCCGGCAAAGGACAAUGCAGUACAGUCAAAGUGCAAUCUUCUCUACCGAACAACUCCAAAUCAUUGAGAUUAUCCGUAACAAAGCAAUGCAGUAGACUAUUUUUGGUCAUGUCGAAAGUAGAAGUCCUGAAGAACCCGCCCUGAAAGAACCACCUCUCUUCAUCUACCAAUGGAGACAUGAUCUCUAUUGGACAAUGGCUACUUCAAUGUCAGCUUCUCAUUACUAGACAGCUUCCAGCACACCUAUAACUCAACCUCAAGAUACACAAGGAGAUUUUUAUUACUCCAUGGACAUCUUUUUUCACUGAUGAAAACAUAGACUAGUACAGAUUCUCCUACCAAGUCUAGGUCCACUGCACAAGAGUGAUUCAACAUCUCCAUCACAAGAACUAUCUUUGGAUAAUAGCCUCCAACUUGGGAGAAGUUCCAUUUAUUGAAAAAACAUCACCUUACAUUAGUAAAACCGCAGGAUUAACUGUCAAACGCAAAGACAAUGAUGUAUCGAGAAUACCGGCUAAAAUCAGCCUCCUAAGACCGUCACCAAACUACUAUUCCUUAUCCACAUAGUAAUAGUUUUGAAACAUCCGAAUCAGUGCCUCAGGUGCAGAGCAUUUGUACAUUCCUAAACCGAAUGAAAGCCAUGCCACCACAACAAACUAAACCUAAGGGUGUGGGUAGACUUUGCAUAUAGUGAACAAAAUUUAUGAUCCUUUGUACCUAUCAAAGUCAAUGACCACCUAAACAAAAUAAAGACCCAAUCCCACCAGCAAAUAUAGAGGACCAUAGGCUCAGACCAAAGUCCUAUCCACUUGCAAUAAUAUGGGCUACAGAAGAACUUUCCAUCUCUCCAAAAUUUGCCUUCAUCACAUACAAUAGAUCCAUCAAUCACACCAAAUGACAUAGCAAAUGAACUUAUAAGAGCUAGUCUACACAACGAGUCUAUUUUAAUACAUCUUAGAUUAAAAUUGAUCAUUACAUAUGAAAAGAGUUUUUUCUUUUACAAUGUCAAAGACAUGAAUCUCAAAGAAAAGAAAACCUCCAUAUACUCUUAUAUCACUUGGAAAAAAUAGAUAUUCACUCAAAACUAAUAUAAUAUUGAAAUUAAAGUAGCUAUUGCAAAAUAAAAAUAAUUAAAAAAUCUCAAAAUAAGACUAAAGACUAGAAAGGUAUUAAUAAGAGAGAAAAAUUCUUCACUCUUGCCUCUACAUAUACUAUUUAAUAAGGAGGUAUGUGGUAAUUUUGUAUAGGACUUUCAAUAUGUAUAAAACUUGCAAGACAUAUGUCUUAAUUUGCAAGUAAUUUUUCUAUAUGUGUACUAUAUAGUAAGCUUGUACCACAAGCUAUCAACACAUGCAAUACAUUGCUAACUUGUUGGCCAAAUUUUUAACCUACCAAUCAACUACAAACAUGUAUAAAGUCAAAGCUCCAUCUAUGAAGCUUUUAAGAAGCUUUUCUAAAAAAUAUUAUCAAAUUGAUUUAUUUUUACUUAUUUAUAAUUAUUAAUAUUAUUUAAAUAAUUAUUUGAAUAAAUAUAUAUAUGUUUGGGACAUUACUCUUUUUUCUAGAGAUGAGUUCCACUAAGAGCAAUGAUCAUAUAUUAAUGAAGUCUAAGAUGUAAUGAAUUAUAUAUUCCACAUACUUUGAUCUUUAUUCUUUUUGAAGGUAGUUCAUAAGGCUUCUUAGCCAUCAAUAAUGUCUCAUUCUAGAGCAAAAAGACUUAUUUGGUAUUUGAUUGUUAUUGAAGCCUUUAUAACUUCUUUCUAACAAAACAUUUGUAACACCAUCAAGAGUCAUUUCUACUUCUAAUAAAAUCACCAAACAUUGGACGUUUCUUUCAAGGUUAUGAUAUCAAAUGUGUUGUAUCUUGCCAUUUAUUCAAGAAAGAAUAUGUUGUUGUUAAGAAUCUUCAUCUCUAUUAUGUUGUCUUGAAGGUUGUAACAAUUGCAAUGUCUCAUCUAAUAAGUUUGUAAAUAAUAGUUUUUGAAUUAAAUCUAUUGAUUUUUACUUCUUUAUUUUUUUAGUAAAAAAAAUACAAAAAAAUUAUAAGCAAGGAUAGAAAGUAGAGUGCAAUCUUCUCUAAAUUAUAUUUCUUUGAUGAUAAAGAUUUUUUAUUUUUUAUUUUAGUUUUGAUGGAUAUUAUUAAUAAAAAGCAUCAAUCUUCUUUAUUGUAAUUACAAGAUUCUUGGCGGAUUUUCCUAUGCAUUUAUUAAUAUCAUAUUUGUACUAAUGAAUAAGAUAUUUUAACCUAUUUUGAUGCUACCUUGAGUCUAGGAUGUCUUUCAUCUCAAACUCUUGAUGAUUAUCUACUUCUGUAGGAGGUCGUGGAAUUUAUCUUUUUUUUGAUAUAUUCACUAUCCUAUAUAGCUCAAAAAGAGACAUAUAGAAUAUGAUUUGGAUCCUUAGAGACUUUGAUAGAUAUAAUUAUUAAGCAAUUGGAUUAAUUUCUUCAAAAGGGUGACUAUUCUUGAUAUUAUGACAAAGUGGAAUUAAAAUUGUUUCUUAUAAUGGUAUCAUGGACAUAUACAUGUAAACUAAUAAUUACCUAUAUGGUUUAGAUAAAAAUAAAUAAAAGUAGGUUAAUUCUAGAAUAUCUUCUAUAAAAGCUUUCUAGAAGCUUGGUAGAUAUUGCUUUGACUUUAUAAGUAUCUUUAAUUGAAUUUUUAGAUUAGAAACGUGGUCAAUAAGUUGGCCAUAUGCCACACAUGUUGGUAGCUUAAAGAACAAGCUAACUAUAUGGCUCACACGUAGAAAACUUGCCUUGUAAGCUAAGGCAUGUGUCCUGCAAAGUCAACAUAUAUUAGAGGUCCUAUAGAACAUUGCCAUGUAGCUCCUAAUUAGAUAGUAUAUAUAGAGGCAAGAGUGAAGCCCUCUUCACUUUUGUCAACUCUUUUUUUGCUUUUAGUGUAGAUUUAAGAAUCUCUAGUUUUCUUGUCUUUUGGCAAUAGUCAUUCUAAUUUUUUUUUAAUAUAAAUACUACUUUAUUGCUAUUUUUUCACUUUUCUUUUAAUACAGGUUUAUGCAUCUUCUUCCAAUUCGUGUCCUUGACAAAUUGACAAGAGUACACUUACAAUAUUAGAACUUUGUCUUUUCUUGAUUAAGAGUGGAUUACUUUUUUUUUUUUAUAAGACAUAAGUAUAUUAGAAGUUAUGGAUAUAUUAGAAGUAUAUUAUCUUAUUCUAAACUAAUAUUAUUCUUAGUAUCUUCUUUUUUCUCAAGUUCCCUCUUUUGCUUGUCUUGAGCAACAUUAGAUAUUUAUUUUUUAAGUAUUAUCAUGGCAGAGCUUGUUAUAAUAAAGAGUGCAAUGGCACAAAUGCAAGAAGAAUUGAGGGAGUUAAUGCUUGCGAUGCAUCAACUCAGUUUACUUCCACAAAGAGCAACAAGAAUGGCAAGAAGUGAUGAUAUAGAUAUGAUUGGAGCUACUCCAACAUCUGCACCCAAUCAUGUUCCUUCUCCUAUGGUGGAACAUCCUUUCGGUACUAGAAAAUCAACAAUUGCCUUGCUUGAGAAGUUUGAUGGCAUUAGAUCUAAGUUUCAAGGAUUUAUCAAUCAAGUAUAAUUUGAGAUUGAACUUCAAUCCUAAAGCUAUCUAACAAUAGGAUCAUAAGUUAGAUUAAUUGAUAUAUUUCUUUCAGAUUUAACAUUAUCAUGGUUUUUAUCUUUUUUAGAACAACGAGAUCUAAUAUUGAAUAAUUUGAAGGCUUUUUUAGUAGAAUUUCGUUCUAUGUAUGGAGAACAUGAUGCAACUUGUAUUGCAACUAACAAGAUCCAUAUUUUAUGAUAAAAUAAUUAAUCUAUAAUAUUAUAUGUUUUUUAAUUUUGACAACUUGCAACUGAUAUCAAGUGGGAUGAUGUUGCACUUAUUAGCCAAUUUCUCUAUGGAUUACAAUAUGAGGUAAAGAAGUUGAUGCUCAACUUACAUGAUCCUCAAACAUUGAGUCUAGCAAUUGGUUUUGCUAUAAAAUGUGACAAUCGACUUUUCAAAUUUCAAUUUGAGAGUAGGAUAAGUGGGCUUUAAUAUUACUAUAAUUCAAUGGCAACACCAAUGCCUCUUCAAUACAUACAUUCAGAAGUAGAGGAUAUACAAAUUGAUGCAAUACGUUUCAAACCUUUUACUGAACAAAAAACGUCUUAUUGCCAUCAAGAAGGAUUGUGUUUAUAUUGUGCAAAACCUAAGCAUACUCCUCAAUAUUAUCCAAAGAAGUGACGUAAUUAUAAAAUGAGGAGUAUGAAUAUCAAAGAAGAUAAUAUAUUAGAAAACGAGUUUGUCUAGCUACAAUAGGAAUCGUGUGGCUGGAACCUUGUACAAUAUCUAAUGAAGGUCCUAUUCACUCUUUAGAAUCCUCUCUAUGUUUUACAUUAAAUAUUAUUUAAGGAUCUAAACAUUACAAAGCCUCUGCCUUGUUAGAUUCAGGAGCCUCACCGUGUUUUUUAGAUGAAGAAUUUGUUAAAAGACUCAACAUAUCUUUAAUAAGGAAAACUAAACCUGUUCACGUAGAAGUCACAGUUGGCCGCUCGUUGUCUUCUGAAGAUGUUUGUCACAAAACUCUUUCUAUACAAGUAAUAACUAAUGGUCAUAAUAGCUUUGUUGUAUUUAAUAUCAUUAGAUCCCCCUCGAAUCCAAUCAUUUUAAGUUUACAGUGGUUAGAAAAAUAUAACCCUCAAGUUGAUUGGAUUUCUUGUAUUCUCAAUUUUUUUUAAAAGUAUAAUUAAGAAUGUAGUUAAUUAAGUAGAAAAUCAUAAGUCUAGUACAAUUGAACCUACGUUUGUAGGUGCAAGAGCUUUCUUACAUGCUUCAAAAGUAGAGAGUAGAGGAUAGGGGGUAAAUUGCAUGCAAUUGGUAACUUGAUAAGAGAAAGAUGAUAGCGAUGGAACGGAAUGGGAGUUUGCAGCUGCAGGGCAGCGUCCGAAAUUGGUGCGAGACGAGAGCGUGCGAUAACUGUGAUCCGGCAUGUGAUAUCAUGCGAAGAGAAACUUGGCAGGGCGUGGUAACACAUUCGGAGGGUAGGGUCGGUAGACGGGAGUAGUACCGUGACGCGGCUUAGAUGUGUAUCGGCGGCGGCGGAUUGGGAAGUCGUCCGCAUCCGUUGUAGUCUAGAUGGUUAGGAUACUCGGCUCUCACCCGAGCGACCCGGGUUCGAGUCCCGGCAACGGAAGCUCCCGAGUGAUAAAAUGGACUACACAUGGUUUUUUCCUCUUUUUCAGGUCAGCACUUUGACGUCGUCGCAGUCCUCCC
This 6948-nucleotide long non-coding RNA is filed under the name Physcomitrium patens. RNAcentral describes it as "long non-coding RNA (PPAT_LNC004486)". The stretch from base 6796 to 6868 matches the Rfam family "tRNA". The record is from RNAcentral. Lineage: Eukaryota; Viridiplantae; Streptophyta; Bryopsida; Funariales; Funariaceae.